AUAAAAGAUUUUGCAGAAUAACACACUCUAAAUCUGAAUAUGGUUAUGUUAUGUUUUCAGUUUACAGUUAAGUAUAGAUUUUUGCUUGCAGUUAUUUUCUCUUAAUUAUUUCUUUCCUUCAUUAAGGGUUUUCUAUUUUAUUUUUAUUAGCGUGCAUGGACAAGAGAAGGGACACAUUUCGUUGUUUCUAGAGAUUAAUACAGAACAUGCCUUGUGAAGACUGAGUCUGGUUGUGAUUUACAAAGUUGGAGCAACAUAGCCAGUGAGUCUUUCAGGCAGCCCUGACAGCAGAAGCAAGCCAUGAAAAAUGACACAGGCUUCCUUAUACCAGAGUCUUAUUACCAUUUUGAUUUCAAAAACAGUGUUGGGUGUCAGUAAACUACUGUAACCAGGAAAAUUAGAUAAAAUAACUAUUCCUUUUGUCCUUCGUAUAUUUCAUAUAUGGAAGGAUGAAAAGUCAGUACAUGGCUAUCAGUCUCUACAGAGGAAGGGAAAUAAUUUGUGCCUAGAUGUAUUAAUGCCUAACUGAAAUGUUUUACAUAUGUGAUUAUAAGAUACGUCAUUUACUUAAAAUGUGUAGUUAAUCUCCUUUCUUGCCUCACCUACAGACUAAAUGGCUUUAUUCCAGCAAAAUUAAGUCUGAAAAUAAUGUUCGCUGAUUUAGAUGUUGAUGACAGAUGGGUCUUAGGUCAGGAUAACAGCUAUGGCUGGGAGACAUUGAUUGUUAGCAUUUAUGCUCUGAUAAUGAAUGACCUGAAUUUUUCUCACAUGUUUGCUCAGGAAGCACAGGGCUGUGGAGGUCUUGACGUCAUAGAGGCAGAAGGAUUUGGGGCCAGAGUAUAUUCACUGCUGGCAGUCAUUCAUUAGUAAAUCCUUGGUAAGAGAGUUGAAUUUGAGUGACAUCUGGAGGCUUUCUAUACCUAGAGGUGGGGGAAUUCUGGAUUUGUAUUUUUUUUUCUGGUAAGCUAGAUUCAUCUUUUA
Molecule: long non-coding RNA, 981 nt
Organism: Sapajus apella (tufted capuchin)
Lineage: Eukaryota; Metazoa; Chordata; Mammalia; Primates; Cebidae
Exons: 3
Source: RefSeq, a predicted model, not a curated record